GGUGGCUCAGUGGUACAGAGCUUGCCUUGCAUGCAUGAGGCCUUGGGUUCGAUUCCCUAGCACCA
Non-coding RNA from Dipodomys ordii (Ord's kangaroo rat), 65 nucleotides. The record is from Rfam. Lineage: Eukaryota; Metazoa; Chordata; Mammalia; Rodentia; Heteromyidae.